Molecule: ribosomal RNA, 536 nt
Filed under: uncultured bacterium
Lineage: Bacteria
Description: partial 16S ribosomal RNA
Rfam family: Bacterial small subunit ribosomal RNA
Source: RNAcentral
UGGGGAAUAUUGCACAAUGGGCGAAAGCCUGAUGCAGCGACGCCGCGUGCGGGAUGAAGGCCUUCGGGUUGUAAACCGCUUUUGAUUGGGAGCAAGCGAGAGUGAGUGUACCUUUCGAAUAAGCACCGGCUAACUACGUGCCAGCAGCCGCGGUAAUACGUAGGGUGCAAGCGUUAUCCGGAAUUAUUGGGCGUAAAGAGCUCGUAGGCGGUUUGUCGCGUCUGGUGUGAAAGUCCAUCGCUUAACGGUGGAUCUGCGCCGGGUACGGGCAGGCUAGAGUGCGACAGGGGAGACUGGAAUUCCCGGUGUAACGGUGGAAUGUGUAGAUAUCGGGAAGAACACCAAUGGCGAAGGCAGGUCUCUGGGUCGUCACUGACGCUGAGGAGCGAAAGCGUGGGGAGCGAACAGGAUUAGAUACCCUGGUAGUCCACGCCGUAAACGGUGGAUGCUGGAUGUGGGGCCCCAUUCCACGGGUUCCGUGUCGGAGCUAACGCGUUAAGCAUCCCGCCUGGGGAGUACGGCCGCAAGGCUAAAAC